RNAcentral lists this ribosomal RNA (468 nucleotides) under uncultured bacterium. RNAcentral's name for it is "partial 16S ribosomal RNA". It matches the Rfam family "Bacterial small subunit ribosomal RNA", at positions 28 to 507 of the family's 1533-position model. The record is from RNAcentral.
GACGAACGCUGGCGGCGUGCUUAACACAUGCAAGUCGAACGGAAAGGCCCUGCUUUUGUGGGGUGCUCGAGUGGCGAACGGGUGAGUAGCACGUGAGUAACCUGCCCUUGACUUUGGGAUAACUUCAGGAAACUGGGGCUAAUACCGGAUAGGAGCUCCUGCUGCAUGGUGGGGGUUGGAAAGUUUCGGCGGUUGGGGAUGGACUCGCGGCUUAUCAGCUUGUUGGUGGGGUAGUGGCUUACCAAGGCUUUGACGGGUAGCCGGCCUGAGAGGGUGACCGGCCACAUUGGGACUGAGAUACGGCCCAGACUCCUACGGGAGGCAGCAGUGGGGAAUAUUGCACAAUGGGCGGAAGCCGGAUGCAGCAACGCCGCGUGCGGGAUGACGGCCUUCGGGUUGUAAACCGCUUUCGCCUGUGACGAAGCGUGAGUGACGGUAAUGGGUAAAGAAGCACCGGCUAACUACGUG